This 486-nucleotide ribosomal RNA is filed under the name uncultured bacterium. RNAcentral's name for it is "partial 16S ribosomal RNA". It matches the Rfam family "Bacterial small subunit ribosomal RNA", at positions 30 to 507 of the family's 1533-position model. The record is from RNAcentral.
AUUGAACGCUGGCGGCAUGCCUUACACAUGCAAGUCGAACGGCAGCACGGGUGCUUGCACCUGGUGGCGAGUGGCGAACGGGUGAGUAAUACAUCGGAACAUGUCCUGUAGUGGGGGAUAGCCCGGCGAAAGCCGGAUUAAUACCGCAUACGAUCUACGGAUGAAAGCGGGGGACCUUCGGGCCUCGCGCUAUAGGGUUGUCCGAUGGCUGAUUAGCUAGUUGGUGGGGUAAAGGCCUACCAAGGCGACGAUCAGUAGCUGGUCUGAGAGGACGACCAGCCACACUGGGACUGAGACACGGCUCAGACUCCUACGGGAGGCAGCAGUGGGGAAUUUUGGACAAUGGGCGAAAGCCUGAUCCAGCAAUGCCGCGUGUGUGAAGAAGGCCUUCGGGUUGUAAAGCACUUUUGUCCGGAAAGAAAUCCUUGGCCCUAAUACGGUCGGGGGAUGACGGUACCGGAAGAAUAAGCACCGGCUAACUACGUG